CCUACGGGGGGCAGCAGUGGGGAAUAUUGGGCAAUGGGCGCAAGCCUGACCCAGCAACGCCGCGUGAAGGAAGAAGGCUUUCGGGUUGUAAACUUCUUUUAAGAGGGAAGAGCAGAAGACGGUACCUCUUGAAUAAGCCACGGCUAACUACGUGCCAGCAGCCGCGGUAAUACGUAGGUGGCAAGCGUUGUCCGGAUUUACUGGGUGUAAGGGGCGUGCAGCCGGGAAGACAGGUCAGAUGUGAAGGCCCGCGGCUCAACCGCGGAACUGCCUGUGAAACUGUUUUUCUUGAGUACCGGAGAGGUCAUCGGAAUGCGUGGUGUAGCGGUGAAAUGCGUAGAUAUAAGGAAGAACACCGGUGGCGAAGGCGGAUGACUGGACGGCAACUGACGGUGAGGCGCGAAAGCGUGGGGAGCAAACAGGAUUAGAUACCCGUGUAGUC
Molecule: ribosomal RNA, 442 nt
Filed under: uncultured bacterium
Lineage: Bacteria
Description: partial 16S ribosomal RNA
Rfam family: Bacterial small subunit ribosomal RNA
Source: RNAcentral